CCAAGUUUCCAACUCACACAUUUAGGUAAAUGGACACAGACUGUGAGUUUGGAAUCAGAAGCAAUGCUUUUCCUUAAAGCUGUCAUAGUCCCAUCCCUUCAUCCACACCCUGUAUUCACACCCUUCUAUGCUAACUCUGGGCUUGGCUGUGAGAUUUGAUUUGAAAAAUGCUUGUGCCCUGGUGCUUGCCUUCUCCUGCUGCUCUUUGGAACCCUGAGUCUUUCAUGGGAACAAGCCUGGGCUUACCCACUGGAGGAAGAGAGGGCACAUGAAAUGGAGAUGAACCAUCCCAGCAGACAGAAGGAUUGUGCAGACGCGGAUUGUCCCCAGCCUGUCCUGCCUGAAGUCCAGAAGUUUCCACCAUAGCCCGUGAAUCCAUCCGUGCCUGACCAAGCUUCCUCCCUGGCCACACACCAUGUACCGCCUUGUCCGCCUGUGGCUCCAGCGUGCUGACCUUCUAUCUGCUCCUGGAUGUGCAACCAUGUCCCACUUUGGGAUUUUGCCCUUACCCUUCCUCCUUCAGGGCAGCCUGAGUUCCUAGAUUUUAGCAGCUUCAUCCUUGCUGUCCUUCACAUCUCCCCUCAGCCCUCUUGACAUCACAUGCAAGUCCAACAGGAAUAGUCUUUCUGCUACCUGAAUUUUAUUUUCUUCAUCACAUGGAUUACUGCUUGAAACCAUCUUAUUCAUUUGCUUAAUUGCACCCAAACUGGACUAUCUGCUCCACCAAUGCAGGGAUGUAAUUUGGGGUCUCCAGACUCCAGGAUGGUUCCUGACGCAUAAUACACGCUCAAAAACUAUUUUGUGGUUACAUCACUUUGCUGAUAAAGAUUCAUAUAGUCAAAGCUAUGCUUUUUCCAGUACUCAUGUAUGGAUGUGAGAGUUGGAUCAUAGAGAAGGUUGAGCACUGAAGAACUGAGGCUUUUGAAAUGUGGUGCUGGUGAAGACUCUUGAGAGUCCCUUAGACUGCAAGGAGAUGAAACCAGGCAAUCCUAAAGGAAACCAAUAUUCAUUGGAAGGACUGAUGCUGAAGUUGAAGCUCCAAUACUUUGGCUGCCUGAUGCAAAGAGGUGACUCAUUUUAAAAGACCCUGAUGCUGGGAAAGGUUGAAGGCAGGAGGAGGAGGUGACAAGAUGAGAUGGUUGGAUGGCGUCAUCAACUCAAUGGACAUGAGUUUGAGUAAGCUCUAGGAGACAGUGAAGGAUAGGGAAGCCUGGUAUGCUGCAGUUCAUGGAGUCACAAAGAGUUGGACGCAACUGAACAAAGAAUGAAUGAGAGGAGGAAGAAAAGAAGGGAAACAGUGGGGGAAGCACAUCCCUCAAAGGAUGAUUAUAGAGACUCCAUUGGACAACUCUCCUAAACGUCUCAUAUAGUGCCUGGUACUCAGGGAUGACUUAAUACACCAAUUAUUAUUCAGUUAUUAGCAUAGAAUAGUGGGCAGCGCACAUACGGAAGAAAGAAAAGCAAAAACAGUCGCGGCACUUUGCUUGAAUUCACCUGGCUUCUGAAGAGAACAUUGGAGGCCUCUAACAAGUAACAUCCCCCUUGGCUCCCCUGAAACUCUUGCUUGAAGCCAGUUCAGACCCCAAGGGUUUGGAGUUCAUUUUUUUUUUUUUUUUUUUU
Bos taurus (domestic cattle) is the source of this 1620-nucleotide long non-coding RNA. Lineage: Eukaryota; Metazoa; Chordata; Mammalia; Artiodactyla; Bovidae. The record is from Ensembl.